RNAcentral lists this long non-coding RNA (564 nucleotides) under Fukomys damarensis (Damara mole-rat). RNAcentral's name for it is "lncRNA (ENSFDAG00000033239.1)". Lineage: Eukaryota; Metazoa; Chordata; Mammalia; Rodentia; Bathyergidae. The record is from RNAcentral.
CUAGAAUACCAGGUGAUUCAGAAGGCAUUUCAGUCAGGCAGCUGUUAAUUAUUUCCACAGUCAGUCAGGGAGAAGGUAAGAAGAAGGGCGGAUUUCCACACCAGGGACCUCACAGUCAACUCAAAAGAUAGGGGUCAGAGUAAAGGCAGGUGCUCGAGCCAGACUUCAUGCCCUUAGACGUGAAGCCUGAGAAAGCUUGAGAUGGAUGGGAUCUGCGGGGUCAUCUGGUUCUUCAAAGCAAAGAGGAGCAGGCAGGGAGCGGGCUCAGCGCUAGGCCCUGGGAGAGAGUCCAGAGAGCGGCUGUCAACUCCCUGCUUCUCUACUCAAUAACUCCUUUCAAUAGGAUGCCCUGAGAGGAGAAAGAUUCCAGGUGGGUAUUGGUCUUAAUUUUCUUUUUCUGAUUUUUAUUUUCCUUAAUCCCCAUCUAGCCCAACAUUUUUAGUGAGUGCUACCAUGGGUGCCACUAUGCUGACUAGUCAGGGGCAUAAAUAUAAGAAGCCACUAAGGAGUUGCAAGUGCAUGUAACCAAGUUGAAUUUGCAUCUAUUCAUCUAUCCACCAAGCC